This is a long non-coding RNA of Amphiprion ocellaris (clown anemonefish), 674 nucleotides long. RefSeq lists it as uncharacterized. The record is from RefSeq and is a predicted model, not a curated record. NCBI's taxonomy places the organism in Eukaryota, Metazoa, Chordata, Actinopteri, Pomacentridae. The transcript is spliced from 2 exons.
AAGAAGUUUGCCAUGGUUUACACUAGGGCUGCAACAACGAAUCGAUAAAAUCGAUAAUCGAUUAUUAAAAGCGUUGGCAACAAAUUUCAUUAUCGAUUCGUUGUGUCGCGCGAUUCAUGCGUCACUCGCCAUGUCACGGAGCCGUCUACUCCACCUGCAGAGCUUUGUCAAUGCUGGCUGACGGAAAUAAAGUUUUUUUUUUUUUUUUAUAAAUAACUCCACCUGUAGAGCGAGUUGAACAGAACGAGGUGGCGGCAAAGCGAAAGUAAAUUCAGAGUAAUUUCAACCAAACAUGACCGAAACGGAGAAAAAUCAGACCGAAAUCCUCAAAAGUGUGGCAGCAUUUCACGAUUCAAAUAACAAAAAACAUGCGUAACAUGCAAGCGUUACAAAAGUGAUAUGAUGUAAGGGAGCACCACGAUGAUGAUGCAGCACCUGAAACGGAAACACGUUGGAGUCGCCGAUGAGGAUGAAGGAGCUCAACAGCAGCAAACAAUGACAGGCUUCAUGAUGAGAAAGACCUCAUGUCCACCACAGCAAGCAGUUGUCCUGACUGAUCAUCACUGACAUGAGGCCUCUGUUGAUGGUUGAAGACGAAGGCUUCGCUACAAUGAUCUUAUUUGCUCUGUCAGUCCAAAUCUUCUCUUUCUGAAUAAAGCGGCAGAAAUUAAAAA